Molecule: ribosomal RNA, 460 nt
Filed under: uncultured bacterium
Lineage: Bacteria
Description: partial 16S ribosomal RNA
Rfam family: Bacterial small subunit ribosomal RNA
Source: RNAcentral
CCUACGGGAGGCAGCAGUGAGGAAUAUUGGUCAAUGGACGAGAGUCUGAACCAGCCAAGUAGCGUGAAGGAUGACUGCCCUAUGGGUUGUAAACUUCUUUUAUAUGGGAAUAAAAUGUUCCACGUGUGGGAUUUUGUAUGUACCAUAUGAAUAAGGAUCGGCUAACUCCGUGCCAGCAGCCGCGGUAAUACGGAGGAUCCGAGCGUUAUCCGGAGUUUUUGGGUUUAAAGGGAGCGUAGGUGGAUUGUUAAGUCAGUUGUGAAAGUUUGCGGCUCAACCGGAAAAGUGCAGUUGAAACUGGCAGUCUUGAGUACAGUAGAGGUGGGCGGAAUUCGUGGUGUAGCGGUGAAAUGCAUAGAUAUCACGAAGAACUCCGAUUGCGAAGGCAGCUCACUGGACUGCAACUGACACUGAGGCACGAAAGUGUGGGUAUCAAACAGGAUUAGAUACCCGAGUAGUC